This 292-nucleotide ribosomal RNA is filed under the name uncultured bacterium. RNAcentral's name for it is "partial 16S ribosomal RNA". The record is from RNAcentral.
GGACUACCGGGGUAUCUAAUCCCGUUCGCUCCCCUGGCUUUCGUGUCUCAGCGUCGGCACAUCCCCAGCUACCUGUUUUCACCAUUGGCGUUCCAAACGAUAUCUACGCAUUUCACCGCUCCACCGUUUGUUCCGGUAGCCCCUAGAUGGCCCAAGACAACCAGUAUACCAAGCAGUUCCACGGUUAAGCCGUGGGAUUUCACAAGGUACUUAGAAGUCCGCCUACACACGCUUUAAGCCCAGUGAUUCCGCCUAACGCUCGGCACCUCUGUCUUACCGCGGCUGCUGGCAC